RNAcentral lists this long non-coding RNA (425 nucleotides) under Oryza brachyantha (malo sina). RNAcentral describes it as "long non-coding RNA (OBRA_LNC002363)". The record is from RNAcentral. Lineage: Eukaryota; Viridiplantae; Streptophyta; Magnoliopsida; Poales; Poaceae.
UUGAGCCUGUAAAAUCUCAGAGCUGUAUGAUGAACUAUACUUAAAUAAUUAAGUAACAAGAUCUCUGGGAAUUUUCUCUUACAACUUCUUUCUCCUUUCCCCAUUUCAUCUCCUAUAAAUAAUUCUACAAUUUCUUCUUCACACAAACCCUCUAAAAAGAGAGAAGAAAAAAAAUAAAAAUGAAACAACACAUUAUUUGCACGAGAGAUUGUACCAUGGCCGUGGGAACCAAGAACCAGAAGAGAGAGAGAGAGAGAGAGAGGCUCCGUCAGCCGGCGCGGAUCCGAGUACGAGAAGUGGAAGAACUCGAAGAAUUCACCAGGAAGUGGAUGGAUCGAGCCAUGGAGCUCCACGAUCCACGGCCAAUUGAGCUGUGGCGGCGGCGCCGGUGCUCCGUCAGCCGGCGCGGAUCCGCUUCUUGGGNN